Molecule: unclassified non-coding RNA, 443 nt
Filed under: Hevea brasiliensis (rubber tree)
Lineage: Eukaryota; Viridiplantae; Streptophyta; Magnoliopsida; Malpighiales; Euphorbiaceae
Source: RNAcentral
GUGGGAGUCGACAAUACAAGAAAAGGUUCAAAUAAGACUAAAAGAUCGAACAAAUGGCGAAUUCAAUUAUUUCCCUUUAAAACGAAAGAACAACAGAAGAUACUUCCUCAACAGAACUUUGUCAUCAACAGUGUGAUUGCAUGGAGUCUCAUUAAUUAACCACGGGAACCUUUAUGCUUCUGUCUGCUCCCUCUACAUGCCUUACUAUAGCCUCAACAACAGCUUGAGUAACAUUUUUCACAUCUAGACCAUCUUGUUCUUCUUCUUCAGAUACAACAAUGGCUUCCAUGCCAAAGUAGAAGUUGCAUGACACCUUAGCAUGCAACACAACUAGACCCAUUUCUUCGAAGACCUCUAAUAUUGGAAUGAGAUUGUCUCCUCCCUUCUGGCAAAUCACCUUUACCAGAAAUCCUUUCCCAGUUUUCUCUACCUUCACCUUGGGU